This 65-nucleotide transfer RNA is filed under the name Habroteleia persimilis. Its description in RNAcentral is "tRNA-Met". Lineage: Eukaryota; Metazoa; Arthropoda; Insecta; Hymenoptera; Scelionidae. The record is from RNAcentral.
UAAAGAAUAGACUAAAUUUAAGUCAAUAGAUUCAUAAUUUAUAAAUAGAAAUUUUCUUUCUUUAA